UUAAAAUAGAUGGCGUUAGGGAUAUAACGAGGGUUUUAAAAAUCUGUUGGGGGGAUUUCCUUAAAGCUACGCAACAGCUGGGAAGGAGUAGGCGUUAACCAUAAUUUUCAUCUUCAAAUUGAGAGAGUGUUCGAGAGAGAGACAAAAAGGGUUUUACUCACUGCACCGUAAGCGUAGCAAAUGUGGAUGAAGAUCACCAUAAGGAUCAAGAUGGUGGAAGGCUUGGAGAUCAACCUUGGAAAGGGAGUGGGUUAAAGACUUGUUAGCAAUCAAUAGAACCUUAAGAAUCUCUGAAAAGCCAAGGUAAGAAGAGUAACUAGGAUAUCAUAGGCGUAUCAGG
RNAcentral lists this long non-coding RNA (340 nucleotides) under Vigna radiata. RNAcentral's name for it is "long non-coding RNA (VRAD_LNC002889)". The record is from RNAcentral. Lineage: Eukaryota; Viridiplantae; Streptophyta; Magnoliopsida; Fabales; Fabaceae.